UGGUGCCCAGAGUGGGGGCUCCUGGCACAGGGGAGUCAACGAGGGAACCGUUCGAGAAAGCCGGCUAGAAGUAAAAGCAAAUUGAAUCAAGGACCGAGGCCUGCAUGGACGACCACCCGACGGGCCGCCCGAGUCAUGGUGAGUGAACAGCAACCCCAUUCCCUUUCCCAGACAUGGGUCAAGCAUUGAGCGAACAUAAAUUGUUUGUGGGAGGCCUCAGCAAGGCAUUAAAGACAAGAGGGUUAAGGGUUAGAAUAAAAGAAUUGUUGCAGUAUUUUCAAUUUAUUCAUAAGGUUUGCCCUU
Cavia porcellus (domestic guinea pig) is the source of this 303-nucleotide regulatory RNA element. It matches the Rfam family "Mason-Pfizer monkey virus packaging signal". From Rfam's summary of the family: The packaging signal is located in the 5' UTR and is required for specific RNA encapsidation. Lineage: Eukaryota; Metazoa; Chordata; Mammalia; Rodentia; Caviidae. The record is from Rfam.